RNAcentral lists this ribosomal RNA (551 nucleotides) under uncultured bacterium. Its description in RNAcentral is "bacterial SSU rRNA". It matches the Rfam family "Bacterial small subunit ribosomal RNA", at positions 86 to 654 of the family's 1533-position model. The record is from RNAcentral.
ACCUGCAGAGUGGCGACGGGGUGAGUACCCCGUGAGUGACCUUGCCCCCGAGGAGGGGGCCACCCAUGGGAAACCAUGGUUAAUACCCGGUAGACCUGGCCUUAUUAGAAAAGGUCAGGUAUAGCUCAGGCGCCUUGGGAGGGGCUCGCGGUCGAUUAGUUUGUUGGUGGGGUAACGGCCUACCAAGAUGACGAUCGAUAGCUGGUCUGAGAGGAUGAUCAGCCACACUGGGACUGAGAUACGGCCCAGACUCCUAUGGGGGGCACCAGCGAGGAAUAUUGGACAAUGGGCGCAAGCCUGAUCCAGCAACGCCGCGUGGAGGAAGAAGGCUUCGGUUGUAAACUCCUUUUGUGCGGGAUGAGACAAGGACAGUACCGCACGAAUAAGUCACGGCUAACUAGGUGCCAGCAGCCGCGGUAAUACCUAGGUGACAAGCGUUAUCCGGAUUUACUGGGCGUAAAGGGCUCGAAGCCGGUAAUUCAAGUCUGGCGUGAAAUCUCCUGGCUUAACCAGGAGGGGUCGUUAGAUACUGUUUUACUGGAGGCAGUGAG